This 1069-nucleotide long non-coding RNA is filed under the name Homo sapiens (human). RNAcentral's name for it is "HSALNT0388588". Lineage: Eukaryota; Metazoa; Chordata; Mammalia; Primates; Hominidae. The record is from RNAcentral.
UCUUGGCUCACUGCUAGACUGGUUGGAUCCAGGAAAAACAAAGGAAAGCAAGGACAUCUACUAAGACUGAAAAAUAAAUGGUAGGGUUUGAGGCUUGGGAGACUUGCAAACAUCUUCACCAUGGUGAGCAUAAUUUGGAACACAGGAUUUUGGAGACAGAGUUCAGCCUCAAUAUCUCCAUCUUCUUCCUAUGCCACUGAACUUGGAUGACAUAUGACAUGAAGUGGUCCAGCCACCCUUUUCAUCUCUACCGUGGAAGACCUUUCAGGACCGACCUAGAUGGGGUUCAGGGGAAAAGAGACGAGCAGCCAGUGGAUCAGAAAACUUAUAAUAAGGUCUUCAUUCUGCAUUCAUUUCCGUAGCAUGAAACCUGUGACCAGACUCCCUCAGUUCAUACCAUGGCUCUGCCACUUAUUUGCUGCAUGAUCCCAGGCACGUUGCUUUACUUUGCUGUGGUUUAGUUCCUCCCCUCUGAACAUGGUGGCAAUAAUGAUACUUUACUCCUAGGGUGGUUGUGAGGACAAAAUUGGUUAACCUGUGUAAAACACUUAGAGCUACAUCUUGCACAUUGUAAAGAUAUGUACAUACUUGUUUUAUUACUAUUCUCUAUAUUUUUUAUUUUCCUGAAUACAAAAAAUGGUUUUGGUAUGUUGUUUUUCUAUUUGGCCAUUUUGUUGAGUUAUCUUAUUUAUUAUAAUAGUUUUUUUUAAAAUGACUUCUCUUAGAUUUCCUUGGUAGAGAAUUGUAAAAAUUAGACAGUUGAGCAGUUGAGGCCAUCCUUUGCAAUAGUUAAAACUCUUUUUUUUUUUUUUUGUCUUAUUACAUUGGCUAAUAUCUCUCGUGGCAAUGAUAAUGGAAAUCCUUGUCUUGUUCCUAAGUAGUAAGACUUCCUCUGAUAUUUCACCAUUAAGCAAGAUGUUUGCUGUAGGAUUUGGUAACUAUGCUUUAGAAGAUGAAGAUAUUUUAUUGUGAUAAAAUGAUAUUAUUAAAGUAUUUUUUUAAUGAGAAAGCAUGAUGAAUUUUAUUAAAUGUUCUCUUUGGCAUCUUUUAAGUUUAGCAUAUAUUUUUU